Molecule: ribosomal RNA, 585 nt
Filed under: uncultured bacterium
Lineage: Bacteria
Description: bacterial SSU rRNA
Rfam family: Bacterial small subunit ribosomal RNA
Source: RNAcentral
CCUACGGGAGGCAGCAGUGGGGAAUUUUGGACAAUGGGCGCAAGCCUGAUCCAGCAAUGCCGCGUGAGUGAAGAAGGCCUUCGGGUUGUAAAGCUCUUUUGUCAGGGAAGAAACGGCUGCGGUUAAUACCUUUGGCUAAUGACGGUACCUGAAGAAUAAGCACCGGCUAACUACGUGCCAGCAGCCGCGGUAAUACGUAGGGUGCAAGCGUUAAUCGGAAUUACUGGGCGUAAAGCGUGCGCAGGCGGUUUUGUAAGUCUGACGUGAAAUCCCCGGGCUCAACCUGGGAAUUGCGUUGGAGACUGCAAGGCUGGAGUCUGGCAGAGGGGGGUAGAAUUCCACGUGUAGCAGUGAAAUGCGUAGAGAUGUGGAGGAACACCGAUGGCGAAGGCAGCCCCCUGGGUCAAGACUGACGCUCAUGCACGAAAGCGUGGGGAGCAAACAGGAUUAGAUACCCUGGUAGUCCACGCCCUAAACGAUGUCUACUAGUUGUCGGGUCUUAAUUGACUUGGUAACGCAGCUAACGCGUGAAGUAGACCGCCUGGGGAGUACGGUCGCAAGAUUAAAACUUAAAGGAAUUGACGG